GAUGAACGCUGGCGGCGUGCCUAAUACAUGCAAGUCAAGCGAACAGACGAGGAGCUUGCUCCUCUGACGUUAGCGGCGGACGGGUGAGUAACACGUGGAUAACCUACCUAUAAGACUGGGAUAACUUCGGGAAACCGGAGCUAAUACCGGAUAACCUUUUGAACCGCAUGGUUCAACAGUGAAAGACGGGCUUGCUGUCACUUAUAGAUUGAUCCGCGGCGCAUUAGCUAGUUGGUAAGGUAACGGCUUACCAAGGCAACGAUGCGUAGCCGACCUGAGAGGGUGAUCGGCCACACUGGAACUGAGACACGGUCCAGACUCCUACGGGAGGCAGCAGUAGGGAAUCUUCCGCAAUGGGCGAAAGCCUGACGGAGCAACGCCGCGUGAGUGAAGAAGGUCUUCGGAUCGUAAAACUCUGUUAUUAGGGAAGAACAAAUGUGUAAGUAACUAUGCACGUCUUGACGGUACCUAAUCAGAAAGCCACGGCUAACUACGUGCCAGCCGCCGCAGUAA
This 513-nucleotide ribosomal RNA is filed under the name uncultured bacterium. RNAcentral's name for it is "partial 16S ribosomal RNA". It matches the Rfam family "Bacterial small subunit ribosomal RNA", at positions 28 to 523 of the family's 1533-position model. The record is from RNAcentral.